RNAcentral lists this unclassified non-coding RNA (304 nucleotides) under plant metagenome. RNAcentral's name for it is "partial contains 5.8S ribosomal RNA, internal transcribed spacer 2, and large subunit ribosomal RNA". The stretch from base 1 to 105 matches the Rfam family "5.8S ribosomal RNA", at positions 50 to 154 of the family's 154-position model. The record is from RNAcentral.
GAAAUGCGAUAAGUAGUGUGAAUUGUAGAAUUCAGUGAAUCAUCGAAUCUUUGAACGCACAUUGCGCCCGCCAGUAUUCUGGCGGGCAUGCCUGUUCGAGCGUCAUUUCAACCAUCAAGCCCCGGGCUUGUGUUGGGGACCUGCGGCUGCCGCAGGCCCUGAAAAGCAGUGGCGGGCUCGCUGUCACACCGAGCGUAGUAGCAAUCACCUCGCUCAGGGCGUGCUGCGGGUUCCGGCCGUUAAACAGCCUUACAAAACCCAAGGUUGACCUCGGAUCAGGUAGGAAGACCCGCUGAACUUAAGC